GACGAACGCUGGCGGCGUGCCUAAUACAUGCAAGUAGAACGCUGAAGAGAGGAGCUUACUCUUCUUGGAUGAGUUGCGAACGGGUGAGUAACGCGUAGGUAACCUGCCUUGUAGCGGGGGAUAACUAUUGGAAACGAUAGCUAAUACCGCAUAACAAUGGAUGACACAUGCCCUUUAUUUGAAAGGGGCAAUUGCUCCACUACAAGAUGGACCUGCGUUGUAUUAGCUAGUAGGUGAGGUAAUGGCUCACCUAGGCGACGAUACAUAGCCGACCUGAGAGGGUGAUCGGCCACACUGGGACUGAGACACGGCCCAGACUCCUACGGGAGGCAGCAGUAGGGAAUCUUCGGCAAUAGGGGCAACCCUGACCGAGCAACGCCGCGUGAGUGAAGAAGGUUUUCGGAUCGUAAAGCUCUGUUGUAAGUCAAGAACGGGUGUGAGAGUGGAAAGUUCACACUGUGACGGUAGCUUACCAGAAAGGGACGGCUAACUACGUG
This 497-nucleotide ribosomal RNA is filed under the name uncultured bacterium. Its description in RNAcentral is "partial 16S ribosomal RNA". It matches the Rfam family "Bacterial small subunit ribosomal RNA", at positions 28 to 507 of the family's 1533-position model. The record is from RNAcentral.